Molecule: small nuclear RNA, 103 nt
Filed under: Rhinopithecus bieti (black snub-nosed monkey)
Lineage: Eukaryota; Metazoa; Chordata; Mammalia; Primates; Cercopithecidae
Source: RNAcentral
ACCUAUGGACCAGUUGACAUACACUAAAAUAGGAAUGAUACGGAAAUUUUCAUGGCCCCUGUACAGGGAUGACAUGCAAAUUCAUGAAGGCUUUUGUGUGUGU